Molecule: long non-coding RNA, 844 nt
Organism: Bactrocera neohumeralis
Lineage: Eukaryota; Metazoa; Arthropoda; Insecta; Diptera; Tephritidae
Exons: 2
Source: RefSeq, a predicted model, not a curated record
AUCCUUCAUCGUGAUGGCCAGCAGAGCCUUUUUCGAUUCAGCUUUUAUAUCCUCAAUUGGGGGCACAACGGUGUCCUCGAAGUGGUCUUGUGAAUUUGCUGAAUAGCCACGAGUUACACGAAGAGCCUCACAAAACGACGCGUAUCUCAAAUACUAAUGAAUAUUUUGACGUGAAAUUUAGCAUAGAUGACACUAACAGUACUACAGAAAAAAAUUUUCCGAUUCGAAAAACACGCGAAGUAUAAAUUAAAAACUCAUCUUUCAAUUUGAUCACAGUAGUAUCCCCAAAUGGGUUGAGGCUGAUCGAUUUCGCCGGGGCGCGAAAUAUGGUUAUCUGUAGUACUAGAUUCCAGCAUAAGAAGAUUCAUCAAGCUACCUGGUUGUCUCCGGAUCGAAAAACCACCAACCAGACCGAUCAUGUUGUGAUAGACGGAAGACACGUCUCCAGUGUUUUAGAUGUGCGCGCGAGUUAAGGAAUGUAUUCCUUAUAAUAGUAACAAACAUCAAAACAACCUUUUGUUUCAGUAACCAGAAUGCAGAAACAACCUUGAGUUGGUACAAUUGAAAUGCACUAUCACUACAACAAACAAUCCUAAACAAACAAGUAUCAAAACAACAUUGAGUUUGAAUACCACAACAACCUUAAAACAAAGCAAAUGUAUCUAAGCAAACAAUAUAUAUGUAUGUAAACAAACCUACACAAAUAAUAUAAUCUGUAUCUUAACAAACUAUCGACUAGUAAUAAGUAAACAUACUAGUUAGUAUAAAUAGAAGUAAGAAACAUGUAAAAAGUUAGUCUUAAGAGUAUAAAUAAAGAGUACACAUUUCGGUGCAGCUCAAAAUA